RNAcentral lists this ribosomal RNA (446 nucleotides) under uncultured bacterium. RNAcentral's name for it is "partial 16S ribosomal RNA". It matches the Rfam family "Bacterial small subunit ribosomal RNA", at positions 338 to 795 of the family's 1533-position model. The record is from RNAcentral.
CCUACGGGCGGCAGCAGUCGAGAAUCAUUCACAAUGGGGGAAACCCUGAUGGUGCGACGCCGCGUGGGGGCAUGAAGGUCUUCGGAUUGUACACCCCUGUCAUGUGGGAGCAAAUUAAAAAGAUAGUACCACAAGAGGAAGAGACGGCUAACUCUGUGCCAGCAGCAGCGGUAAUACAGAGGUCUCAAGCGUUGUUCGGAAUCACUGGGCGUAAAGCGUGCGUAGGCUGUUUCGUAAGUAGUGUUUGAAAGGCGCGGGCUCAACCCGCGGACGGCACAUGAUACUGCGAGACUAGAGUAAUGGAGGGGGAACCGGAAUUCUCGGUGUAGCAGUGAAAUGCGUAGAUAUCGAGAGGAACACUCGUGGCGAAGGCGGGUUCCUGGACAUUAACUGACGCUGAGGCACGAAGGCCAGGGGAGCGAAAGGGAUUAGAUACCCCGGUAGUC